Bombus impatiens (common eastern bumble bee) is the source of this 607-nucleotide long non-coding RNA. RefSeq lists it as uncharacterized. Lineage: Eukaryota; Metazoa; Arthropoda; Insecta; Hymenoptera; Apidae. The record is from RefSeq and is a predicted model, not a curated record. The transcript has 2 exons.
GGGGGGGGAGAGAGAGAGAGAGAGAGAGAGAGAGAGAUGGAAAACAAUGUUCGCGUAUUUCGGUAUGUAGAUAUUUACAUAAUUAUAUCUUCAUAAAUAAAACUGAUUUAUAACUAAAUACUUGCAACGAAUUAUUCAAUUAUAGAUACUAUAAUACAAUCACUAUACAAUAUUUUUACUGUACAAGGCUUCUUCCUCUCCGUUUUUUCCAUUUGUGCAAAUUUGAUAAUAAACCCAUGGAAAAAUAUUUCGUAAUAAUCCACUAAUACCAGUAUCAAAUUGUUCAAAUAUUGAUUAAGAAUGUUGAUAAAGAUCUUUGGUCAUUGGUUUCAUGGAAUACUGUUGCUUUUUGGAGAUCUUUCUGGAUUCUUUCUAAUCAUCAGUCUGAAAAAAUAGAAUUUUCGAUAAAUUAAAAUGAAAUAUUUAAACUCAAUUUUUCAAAGUAUCACAAUCUAUAAAUUUAGAUGCUUGUGUUAUUUGUAAAAUAAUCAAAAUUUAUUUUAUGUGCAGUAGUAUAUAUUUCAAAGUGAGCAAGUAUAAUAUAACGAGUAAUCUUGCCUUGUCUCGCUUUAAGUAUGUGAUAAAUCAAUAAAGAAAGUAAAAAUAA